This 467-nucleotide ribosomal RNA is filed under the name uncultured bacterium. RNAcentral's name for it is "partial 16S ribosomal RNA". It matches the Rfam family "Bacterial small subunit ribosomal RNA", at positions 28 to 506 of the family's 1533-position model. The record is from RNAcentral.
GACGAACGCUGGCGGCGUGCUUAACACAUGCAAGUCGAACGGAAAGGCCCUGCUUUUGUGGGGUGCUCGAGUGGCGAACGGGUGAGUAACACGUGAGUAACCUGCCCUUGACUUUGGGAUAACUUCAGGAAACUGGGGCUAAUACCGGAUAGGAGCUCCUGCUGCAUGGUGGGGGUUGGAAAGUUUCGGCGGUUGGGGAUGGACUCGCGGCUUAUCAGCUUGUUGGUGGGGUAGUGGCUUACCAAGGCUUUGACGGGUAGCCGGCCUGAGAGGGUGACCGGCCACAUUGGGACUGAGAUACGGCCCAGACUCCUACGGGAGGCAACAGUGGGGAAUAUUGCACAAUGGGCGGAAGCCUGAUGCAGCAACGCCGCGUGCGGGAUGACGGCCUUCGGGUUGUAAACCGCUUUCGCCUGUGACGAAGCGUGAGUGACGGUAAUGGGUAAAUAAGCACCGGCUAACUACGU